GUCGGGGCUCCCUCCCGCGCCUCUGCAGGCGGGGCGGGGCAGCGCUCGGCGCUGGGCCCUGGGUUUGGGGUCAAGGCUGGCAUGUCGGGGAUCAGGGCAGCAAACCCAGCACGUCCAGAGUUAGUCCUGCGCUGGUGUACUGGAAUCUAGCCAGGCAUCACGCAUUCGUAUUAACUCGCUGCGUGACGUUGUGUACCCGCUGGCCUCCCCCCCCCCCUUUCCUAUUUGGUGAGGCUCAUUUUCCGCGGUUCUAGAAGUCAGUAUUAGAUGUGGAAGUCGUGUGUGUCCCUCCUACAACGGAAGCUUCCCGAGAACAGCGCUCUCUGGCUUCCAUCACUGCUGUCUCCGCAGCACCUGCAAGGACUCCCGACACGUGCGCGUGCUCCACGAAGACGGUAGUUCCUGAUGCUUUAGCUAGAGAACACAGAGGAGCACCGCAAAGAGCACUGACAUCAUCUUUAAAACCACUCAGCUACCGCCGACAGCCAGCAAUUACUUAAAUUUACUAACUUACCAGAUAUCAAGCAGCUGACAAUACCGUCAGACAAAGAGAUACCGGAAAUGGUGCACACAAAAAGGCCAUGUGAGAACACAACAAGAAGGCACCUGCCUGCCAGCCCAGAAGAAAAGAGCAGCUAACACUGCAGACACCUUGCUCUUGAUGUUCCCGCCUCCAGGAUAGUGAGAAAACAAGUUUCUGUUGUUUAUGCCCCCCCCCAGCUUGUGGUAUUUUAUCAUCGUAGCCCUAGUAAACUAAUAUAAGUAUGGUGGAGGAAUCAAGAAAACUGAUUGCGGCUUGCAUAGCCUUUUCUCUAAACCAGGUUUUUUGUUAUUGUUUCAGUGUUUUUCAUAAUACAUAUGUUAUUUUCUUUUUAAUUGCACUUUCUGGUUUUCACAUAAUCACCUUCCAUCUUUGUGGGGCCCAGGGUGUUUUUGUAAAGCAUGCAUGCAGUGUGUAAUAAUCAGAUCAAGUAAAGCAACUGUCAUCUUGAAUC
Long non-coding RNA from Tupaia belangeri chinensis (Chinese tree shrew), 995 nucleotides. RefSeq lists it as uncharacterized. The transcript has 3 exons. The record is from RefSeq and is a predicted model, not a curated record. NCBI's taxonomy places the organism in Eukaryota, Metazoa, Chordata, Mammalia, Scandentia, Tupaiidae.